CGCCUUGCCAGCCCGCUCAGAAACUCAAAGGAAUUGACGGGGGCCCGCACAAGCGGUGGAGCAUGUGGUUUAAUUCGAUGAUACGCGAGGAACCUUACCAGGGCUUGACAUACACCGGAACGGGCGUGAAAGCGUCCGGCCCUUCGGGGCCGGUGUACAGGUGCUGCAUGGCUGUCGUCAGCUCGUGCUGUGAAGUGUUGGGUUAAGUCCCAUAACGAGCGCAACCCCUACCUUUAGUUGCCAUCAGGUAAUGCUGGGGACUCUAAAGGAACUGCCUACGCAAGUAGUGAGGAAGGCGGGGAUGACGUCAAAUCAGCACGGCCCUUACGUCCAGGGCUACACACGUGCUACAAUGGCCGAUACAGAGGGCAGCUACCUGGUGACAGGAUGCAAAUCUCCAAAGUCGGUCUCAGUUCGGAUCGGAGUCUGCAACCCGACUCCGUGAAGUUGGAUUCGCUAGUAAUCGCGCAUCAGCCAUGGCGCGGUGAAUACGUUCCCGGGCCUU
This 505-nucleotide ribosomal RNA is filed under the name uncultured Sphingobacteriales bacterium. RNAcentral describes it as "bacterial SSU rRNA". It matches the Rfam family "Bacterial small subunit ribosomal RNA", at positions 903 to 1382 of the family's 1533-position model. Lineage: Bacteria; Pseudomonadati; Bacteroidota; Sphingobacteriia; Sphingobacteriales. The record is from RNAcentral.